UGUGUACUCCCUCCGUCCAAUUUUUUUUGUCUUAGCUUUAUCUAGAAAUGGAUGUAUCUAAAUACUAAAACUUUACUAGAUACAUUCAUAUCUAAACAAAUCUAAGACAAAAUUUUUUGAAACGGAGGGAGUAGAAG
Hordeum vulgare subsp. vulgare (domesticated barley) is the source of this 137-nucleotide non-coding RNA. NCBI's taxonomy places the organism in Eukaryota, Viridiplantae, Streptophyta, Magnoliopsida, Poales, Poaceae. The record is from Rfam.